Non-coding RNA from Vicugna pacos (alpaca), 1590 nucleotides. The record is from RefSeq and is a predicted model, not a curated record. Lineage: Eukaryota; Metazoa; Chordata; Mammalia; Artiodactyla; Camelidae.
AUUAAGCUUUUAAGCAUGAGGUUUUAUGUUACUCUGGUUACGAGCUGGGCUGUUUUAACAUUUGCUGUAGCUGUAGAUGCCACAGACUUUGGUUUCCAAAAUGGGCUGGGGGUGUAGAUUGUAUCAGAGAGCGAGAACUUGUAGGCAUGAAAUAAGACAGGUUUUACACACACACAUAUACAUUCAUAAAGUUACAAAUCGCAAGCGCACAAAACACCAGGCAAACUCCCACUCACCUUCUAUCCUAGAGGCUCCGCCCCCAGAUUCGCCUCUCCUAGGCCCCGCCCAUUUCCCAGACUUCCGCUGGCUCAAUGCUCCUGGGCGCUCCACGCCUUCUGCGACCCCGCCCACCAUUCGCGGAGGCCCCGGUGAGCCGCUUCACAGGUCCCUCUGAGCCUGACCGCUGCACCUGCGCAGUCCGAGCCUGGAUACGGCUCCCAGAAGCCUCCGGGACUCGGCUCUGUUCACGGAGGCGGCUGGUCCUUCAGGGAACUGCAGUCUGGGCUGAAAGACUUCCAGGCGGCUCUGUUCCAGACCAGGAGGCUCCAACAGGGGACAGUGAUCACUAGGCCUGGGAGAGGAACCCUGCCUAGCAGCCUCCUCGCCCGAUUUCAGAAAGCCGCCGCCACCCGCCGGGACUACGUUUCCCAGGGGCCGUUGCACCGGAAGGGCACGCCCACUUCCGGCAACGGCUUGAAGUCCGGGCACGAGCGAGUCUGGCAGUUUCUGAGGAGAAAACCUGGGCGGGGCGGCGGCCGUGACUGGGCCCAGGCCCUGUAGAGGCGCCGAGAGGGCGGCGUUCGGGUCCGCGCCCGUGGAGAGGUGGGGGUGGGCGUCAUGGACGUGCGACUGCGGCCUGCAGUGCGUGGUGUCUGUGUGACCGGGAAGAGGAAGCAGGUCCGUGUGUGAAUGGGGGUUCGAGAUGCGGCUGGUGGGGCGCGGAGGAGGGCAGUGUCUGUCUGGGGCCUGUGUUUCUGCGCGUGUCUUUUGCGCACUUCGCACGUCUCAGCAGCAUGUGAGGGACGGCGUGUGUUGCAGUGAGUGAAUGAUAUUACGUGGCUGAGACCUGGACACACCACCAGAGAAGAACCUCUUCGUCCCCCACUCCUACGCGCGCGCGCGCACACACACGCACGCACGCGCGCACGCACACACACACACACACACACACACCCGACUCCACCACCAGGAGCCCAGUGUGGAACAAAGCCCUGGAGUCCUGGGAAGGUGCCUCGUUGCGGGGGCGCGGCUGAAGCAUCUCUUGCCUGCCCCACAUGGAGGGUGUGGAAGCCGGGACACUGCACACGACCACGGGACUGGGUACGGAGAAGAGGAACUGAAACAGAGAGAGGACAAGUAAUCACUAGUAAGUGGAGGAGCCAGGAUUCACGUCCAGGACAGGCCGACUCCAGAGUGCCCCCUGUGCUGGCUCUCGUGUAAUCCCCUCAGCAACUACUCAAGGAUUCAGUGACUUUCACGGAUAUAGCCAUAGACUUCUCCCACGAUGAGUGGGAGUGGCUGAAUCUUGCUCAGAGGACUUUGUACAAGAAGGUGAUGAUAGAGAACUAUGGGAGCCUGGUUUCACUGGGU